RNAcentral lists this transfer RNA (74 nucleotides) under Marmota monax (woodchuck). Its description in RNAcentral is "tRNA.Ala". The record is from RNAcentral. Lineage: Eukaryota; Metazoa; Chordata; Mammalia; Rodentia; Sciuridae.
GUGAUUGUGGCUCAGUGGUAGAGUGCUCACCUAGCAUGUGUGAGGCCCUGGGUUCAAAGACCCUCAGCACCACA